AUAUCUUUAAUCCACAACUGAACCAACACUGUCAAUAUUGUGGUGACAUUUGGAUGAUGUCUGUAGAAGGCUGACAUUAUGAUGAUCCACAAUAACAGAGAGACAAAGUCACUCUACUCAUUUUAGAGGAAACAUCAUUGAUUAGGACAUAUCUGAUUGAUUAUUAAUGAUUUGAUCUACAUGGUUUAUUCUUUAUUCAGAUUGAACAACUGUCGUUUGUCAGAGAUCAGCUGUGAUUCUCUGGUCUCAGCUCUGAAGUCCAACCCCUCCCAUCUGACAGAACUGGACCUGAGUGAAAACAACCUGCAGGAUUCAGCAGUGAAGCAGUUGUCUGAUCUUGUGAAGAGUCCAGACUAUAAACUGGAGAAACUGAGGUGGAAGGAUUAAAGUGAAUUGUCAGUGCUGCAGUGUGAACUGCUCUGAGAACAGCUCCACUGUCAGACUCGAUGUCAAGUCCACCAUCAUCCCUGUGUGUUGGUCUGGAUCUGACAGAGGAUCAUCAGUGGAUCUGGACUGAUCUGCUGCUGCUCUGUUCUUCUACACAGUCUCUGCAGACACACUGAUAAACAUCUAUUCAUUCUCCUCCACCCUCCACCUCCACCUGGAUUUUAUUCAGUCUUUAUUUUCUUCAUUCAGAUAUUCUGAAGCUGCACCAACUGUAGUCGACUGUAUUUAUCAACCAGUAGAUUUCUGAUGUUGUAGCUCACAACACAUGAUCACAGCAGCUGAAGCCUGAUGGAAAGAAACAUCAGGUUCUACAGUGAUUUAUUAUGGACAUGAAUUUAUGGACCUUUAUAUCACAUUUAAGCUUCAUUUAACAAUAGUUGCUAGGAACAUUAACAUUAAUUGACUUGAUCUGGACCCAUCAACAGGACCAGAGUCCUGAUUUGUUGGAGGAACCAGUGAGAGACUCUGAUUUGUUUCAUGAUCCAUCCACACGUGGACUCAGAUAAGCAGCAGAAAAUGUAAACAUGGAUAAUUCAUAAAGAAAACAUUUGUUAAUUAAGGUUUUUGUUCAUUAUGAGUCUCUGAGCUUCUUAACUUCUAAUGUUUCUGUCUACAGGACGAAAAAGAUGAAACAUCUUUGUUAAUGAAACUGAAGACUUUGUAAAACCUUCUUAGGCUUUUAUUUUGAAGGAAGUGAAUUCACUGUUGUUAAUAUUUGUAGAAACUCUGUUAAUAGUUCACUAAUAAUGAUCCAAUAAUCAUUGACAGGGUUCAUUCUCCAUCAUGAUACUUUUACUGUUGAUGCUUUAAAUAAAUUUUCUUCCAAUAAACAUAAAGUUGGACUUUUACUUGUAACAGAUUCUGUUUUCUUGUUGUAAUGCUCCUUUAACUCUAGUUAACAUCUGAAUUCUUCUUCCAUCACUGUCCAUACAUUGAUCUGUGAGUCUGUACGUUACUACAUGUUACUUCCUGUGUUACUUCAUGACUUCAUACGUUAGUUCUCAGCAGGGACGUCAACAACUACUUCACUUUGACUUGAAGUUUAGUUUUUAACAGUCACAUUUCCAGAAAAUCAGACGUCACUUAUCUGCUUCUCUGAUCAUCUGACUGUGAGCUGAAGUUUUUGGACUCAUAGUGGAUCAUCAGGUCUGACUUGUUUCCUGACUCAACUAAAG
Anabas testudineus (climbing perch) is the source of this 1622-nucleotide long non-coding RNA. Lineage: Eukaryota; Metazoa; Chordata; Actinopteri; Anabantiformes; Anabantidae. The record is from Ensembl.